UGAGGAAUAUUGGUCAAUGGGCGAGAGCCUGAACCAGCCAAGUAGCGUGAAGGAUGACUGCCCUAUGGGUUGUAAACUUCUUUUAUAUGGGAAUAAAGUGCAGUAUGUAUACUGUUUUGUAUGUACCAUACGAAUAAGGAUCGGCUAACUCCGUGCCAGCAGCCGCGGUAAUACGGAGGAUCCGAGCGUUAUCCGGAUUUAUUGGGUUUAAAGGGAGCGUAGGCGGAUUAUUAAGUCAGUUGUGAAAGUUUGCGGCUCAACCGUAAAAUUGCAGUUGAUACUGGUAGUCUUGAGUGCAGCAGAGGUAGGCGGAAUUCGUGGUGUAGCGGUGAAAUGCUUAGAUAUCACGAAGAACUCCGAUUGCGAAGGCAGCUUACUGGACUGUAACUGACGCUGAUGC
This 400-nucleotide ribosomal RNA is filed under the name uncultured bacterium. RNAcentral describes it as "bacterial SSU rRNA". It matches the Rfam family "Bacterial small subunit ribosomal RNA", at positions 355 to 752 of the family's 1533-position model. The record is from RNAcentral.